UGGCUUUGUCUGGUUGGGUGCAUGGGCCGGCUCACAUGAAUGGGCGUGUGGGCCUUUGGGCUGAGAAGUACACCGGCCCCCGGGAUUCUGGGCGGUAGCUGCCAGUCCUUUGUCUAGAAAGAGCCUCCUCGCUCAGCCCCAGGGGUGGGGGCGCACGGCGCCUGGGAUCCGCCCCUUGGGCCCCUCCCCGAGGCAGCCGCCGCCCACCCGCCGGCCUUAGGCUCCCGCACAUCUGGCGGUCCUCAGCGCAUCUGGGCAGCCGGCGCCGAAGCAUGAACAGCUCGCAGGAGGGCGCCACGGCCCGGGGCGCCUGGCAGAGCUCCUGCUGCAACCAGUCGGGGGUGCCGCUGGAGCCCCCCGAGGGGCCGCGCGCCGUGCAGGCGGCGGUGCUGGGCGUGCUGUCGCUGCUCGUGCUGUGCGGGGUCCUCUUCCUGGCCGCCGGCCUCCUGCUCCGCGCCCAGGGUUUAAGGGCGCUGCUGGCCCGAGAGCUGCGCUCGUCCCGGGAGGGCGAGCCCGGCGGCGCCAGCGUCGAUGACGACGACGACUCCUAGGCGCCCGGCUGCGUUCGGGGGUCGCGGCCUCCCGGCGAUCCGUGGACUCCAUGCCAGACUUUGAGGGAACCGUCCCCCAGCACCCGACGUCUGCAGCGGGGAGCCCUGCCCGAUGCUGGUGCGCUCGCACAGCCUUGCUGGAUACCUUCUUGCUGCUGCGAAUGGCCUUCCAGGUGCCACAGCAACUCCCAGCUCAGUGCCUGGGAAGCUGGCCCAUGGUGUGUGCUGUGGAGGACCUCAGUGUUCCUGGAGGAAGAGCCUGAGACGUUUGCUAAGAAACUCUGACCCUGGUCAAGGCUGUCAGACUGAACGGGGAGGGAAAGAAUUCAGAAAAUUGGGAAAUGGGUGCUGUUGUCACACCAUCUGCCAGACUCAGGUUGGGAGUGGCAGGGAUGAUGACUGCAGGUCGGUGUGCCAUGGAGUGAGGCCAGGCGUUUGGAUCCCAACAAGCUCCAUUAGCCUGCGCUGUCCUUGAUGGAAAGACUGGGUCCACACAUGCAUGGACAUCUUGGCUUACUCUUCCUCUAAACCCUGAGUCUCACCCUGAGGUGGAAAGAAUUGUCAUUCCUUGGCUCCCUCUCCAGCAAAGAUGGGGGCGGCUAUCUAGUACAGAUUCCCAAACCUCGCAUGCUGUGUGUCCCAGACCGCUUUCCUCCAGGCUACCGGCCACACAAGGAACCUUUGAUCCACAUACAGUACAGAUGACGGCCUGGGAGAUGCCUGGACUGUGGCGAGACCGCAACCUGGGAUUCCUGCACGCAGCUGCUGCCUCUGACCCGCUCCAUCCAGCCUCCUGAAGUGCUCAUGGCACUGGCCUGGGUGGCCAGCCCCACUCCUGGCAACUGCUGUGCGUCCUGGGCACUGAAGUGGCCACACCCUCAGGAUGCUCAGUGCUUCAGACGCUGACAGACUCGUGCCUGCUGGGCCUAGUCCCGUCUCUGGUACUGGGUGGCUGUGGUCUGACAGGCUAGUGACUUGUCCCUGCUGAGGGCGGUAGGCCCGUGUCCCAAAUUUGAAGGUCUUGGGUGCCCCAGCAAUGCCUCAUCACUGCCCCAUCACUUCCUGUGGCUUGUUAUGAAAUAUGCUGGUAAUGUAAAGUUGGAGUAUACAGUCAGUGCUUGCAGCUCCUGACUCUUGGAAUUAGUGGUAAACCUGGGCCAGUGGUAAAUAACCUGCCUGCCGGUGCGGGAGACAUAAAAGAUGCAGGUUGGAUCCCUGGAUCGGAAAGAUCCCCUGGAGGAGGACAUGGCAACCAUUCCAGUGUUCUUGCCUGGAGAAUCCCAGGGACAGAGAAGUCUGGUGGGCUCCAUACAGUUGCAAAGAGUCGGACAUGACUGAAGCGACUUAGCACGCAGCAUGUUGGGCCCGCUCCAGCUUGCACUGUUUCUGGCAGAUCCUGAAAUAGCAACCCCAGCCACAGCCCCUCUCCCUCGCUCUCAGUGCUAGCUUUUCCCUCUCCAUACCCAGAUCCACACCUACUGGUAGGUGGGAGGUGGGGCAGUGACUCUCACACCGACACUCUACUGCCUCCCUGUGGUCAGUGUGGGCAAGGUUGCCGGGAGAAAUAUCAGCAACCUCAGAUAUGUAGAUGGCACCACCCUAAUGGCAGAAAGUGAAAAGGAGCUAAAGAGCCUCUUGAUAAGGUGAAAGAGGAGAGUGAAAAAGCUGGCUUAAAACUCAACUUUCAAAAAGCUAAGAUCAUGGCUUUCAGUCCCCUCGCUUCAUGGGAAAUAGAUGGGGAAACAAUGGAAACAGUUAGAGACUUUAUUUUCUUGGGCUCCAAAAUCACUGCAGAUGGUGACUGCAGCCAUGAAAUUAAAAGCCGCUUGCUCCUUGGAAGAAAAGCAGUGACCAACCUAGACAGCGUACUAAAAAGCAGAGACGUUACUUUGCCAACAAAGGUCUGUCUAGUCAAAGCUAUGGUUUUUCCAGUAGUUGUGUAUGGAUAUGAGAUUUGGACCAGAAAGAAGGCUGAGCACCAAAGCAUUAAUGCUUUUGAACUGUGGUGGUGGAGAAGACUCUUGAGAGUCUAAAGGAACUCAGUCCUGACUAUUCAUUGGAAGGACUGAUGCUAAAGCUGAAGCUCCAGUCCUUUGGCCACCUGAGGCAAAGAGCCAACUCUUUCAAAAGACCCCGAUGCUGAGAAAGACUGAAGGCAGGUGGAGAAGGGGAUGGCAGAGGAUGAGAUGGUUGGAUGGCAUCACUGAUUCAGUGGACGUGAGUCUGGGCAAACUCUGGGAAUUAGUGAAGGACAGGGAAGCCUGGUGUGCUGCACUCCAUCGGGUUGCAAAGAGUUGGACACGACUGAGUGACUGAACAACAACAAUUGGGGGUCUGAUCACAGUUUGGCCAGAGCUUGUGCCUCGACGUGAGAGUGAAUUUUGUGAGCAUAUGCAUGGAAUUCUAUAUUUCAUGGAAUACUUAUAGGUUAUAGGUUCAUUCUAUAAACCUCCAUGAAUCUCAAUCUCUUCAUCCCUAAAAUGGAGGCAACAAUGUCAUAAGGAUCAAAUAUACAGCGUGCUUGUCCAUAGAUAAAAGGCUUUCUACACUGUGAUUAUAGUGUGAUGUUAUUUUUUUCUCCAAGCCUGACCAUCUCCAGAGAAAAGGUGUAGAGACACCCACCCACCCUGUUUCUGGGAACAUGUCAUGUGUCUUUUCCAUGAGCGUUUUUUUUUUUUUAACUUUUUAUUUUGUAUUCAGGUAUAGCUGAUUGUUCACAGUGUUCUGAUAGUUUCAGGUGAACAGUGAAGACAGAGAAGAUAUAUGACUUCACUUAUACGUACAAACUAAAAAGAAAUGAUCCAGAUGAACUUACAGAAAGAGACUCACAGACUUAGAGAACGAACUUAUGGUUGCUGGGGGAAGGGAUGGGGGGAAGGGUAGUCAGGGAGUUGGGGAUGGGUAUGUGCACACUGCUAUAUUUAAAAUGGGAAACCAACAGGGACCUACUGUAUUAGCACAGGCAACUUUGCUCAGUGUUAUGUGGCAGCCUGGAUGGGAGGGGAAUUUGAGGAAGAAUGGAUACAGGUAUAUGUAUGGCUGAGUCCAUGAGUGUUUAUUUAUUUAUAUUUUUCUCUUUUCGGCUUUUUUUUUUUUUAAAUAAGCGGUUACAUUGCGGGCUCAAUGUUAACAUGUUCCACCAAACAUUAAACUGGUGUUUCCAGAAAACAGGGCCCCUGGCUAAAGCGUGUCUCCAGGUUCCUUGGUAAUUGACAAGGUAGUCGCUUGAGUACUGAAUGACUGCUCUGUGCCAGGCCUGCUCUGGGGCUGGGGAUGAGAUGAAUGAGACAGAGGUCCUGCCUUCAAGAGGCACACAGUGCCGUAAGAGCACUGCUCACAAGACUGAAGUUAACACAGACAAUAAGAAGUGCCGAGUGUCGACAAAGCCGAGAGCAGAGAGUGACUGGCUCGGCUCCUAGAGGAAGUGGUACUGAGUGAACAUUCACCGGGCAGAGAAGGGGAGGAAGAAAAUUCUGGGCAGAGACACAGAGGGGCCUAGGGCUGGAGGUGCCCUAGAGGCAGGUAGGUAGAGUAGGAUGUGGAGGUGCGAGACCGGAGGGGUGGCAGCCUGGGUGGGAGACUUUAUCCUGGAGGUAGCAAGGGGUCUGCAGGGGUCUAGAGGGCUUUAAGCUGGAAACGACAUGGUAAGAUCUGGAUCUUAGGGAAUUGGGGGUAAGUCUGUGGGUGGGAGCAGGCUGGACGUAGAGAGACAGCAAGGAGGCUGUGGUCACAACCUGGCAAAAAUGAUGAUGCCCUGGACUAAAGUGGAAAGAAAAGGGGACAGAUCCAAGUGAUGUUUGGGAUUCAGGCUUUGGUCACUAGCUGAAUGUGGAAUGAAGUGGGGGUGGAGGACGAAGCCCCAGCUCCUGGAAUUAAUUACCCAGGGGGUGGUGACGCCUGCCACCCAUCGAGGGGCUGUGUUAUCAGUUAGGAUAUUUUGGUCUGAGUUUACAGGAAACCCUAAAGAUAUUUGGCUUGAGCAGAGGGUAAUUAAUUGGCCCACAUAACUGCAGAGCCUAGGGGCAGUUCUGGCCUCAGGCCGGCUGUGACUCAGGUCUGACUGUGAGCAGCCCUGGCCUCUCUGCCUUCCAUGCCUUGGUCUGCAGCCUCUGUCAGCCUCUGGCAGGGUGGUCUAAAGGUUGGGGCAAGGGCUUGAAAUCUCGUGGCUGGACUUGAAAGCUGGCCCCACAUUUUCUGGCUGUGUGACCUGGGCAAGGUGCUUAAUCCCUUGCGGGAGUGAGGAGAAGCAGGGCGUUAGGAUAAAGUGAGACCCAUACAUGUAGAGAGCCUGGCCCAGUAACAGCGCUGUUAUCAGCCUCAGCCUCCAUGUGAGGCAGGAGGCAUCUCAAGCUCAAAUCUAUCAGGGAAGGACAGGUCAUCUCCCAGGUCCCUCAGGCCAAACCCUGCAACAGUUGUGACUGUGUGCUAACCCUGGGGUCCUGUGUUGCUGGUAUGGAAUGUUCUAGGCCUAGGUCACAUGCUCUGCUCAGACAUCCCAGACCACAGGGCCCAAAGGAGAAGGAUGUCUCCUCACUAGAUCUAAGCCUGUUUUAGUUCUGGGGUGAACAGAGGCUGGGUGUCCAUAAACUGACUCAUGGGGGGCCGUGGGCAGAGGGGUGGUGGGUGAGUCCAGUUUGGGUGUGUUGAGUCUGAAGCACGGCCGCGGGGUCAUCCAAGGUGUACAAUUAGUUAUGGGGCUGGGGCUCACCAGAGAGACUUCCAGGCCAGGGUGUUGCUAGAGGCAGAAAAUGGAACUAUGGGAAGGGCCUGGGUAGGGCUGAGAAGAGAGGGGGCGAGCAGGCC
Capra hircus (goat) is the source of this 5354-nucleotide long non-coding RNA. The record is from Ensembl. NCBI's taxonomy places the organism in Eukaryota, Metazoa, Chordata, Mammalia, Artiodactyla, Bovidae.